RNAcentral lists this transfer RNA (72 nucleotides) under Camelus bactrianus (Bactrian camel). It matches the Rfam family "tRNA". Rfam says of the family: Transfer RNA (tRNA) molecules are approximately 80 nucleotides in length. Lineage: Eukaryota; Metazoa; Chordata; Mammalia; Artiodactyla; Camelidae. The record is from Rfam by way of RNAcentral. RNAcentral also lists the same sequence under 2 other names.
GAGGAUAUAGCUCAGUGGUAGAGUGUGUACUCAGUGUGCACAAGGUUCUGGGUUCAAUCCCCAGUGCCCCCA